AGUACCCUCGCAGAGUGCACCGCGCCGGUCUUUCGGUCCCCGGCUCGGAGGCUGAUCCUCCGCAGCCAGGUCCCCAGCGCUUUCAGUCGUGCGGCAGCUUCGGACCCGAGCGCAGGAGGAAAACUACAAGAAAGAAACUCGUGAGCUGAAUGCCAGGAAGUCGAAGGGGGUAAUGCUCCAAGGUGAAGUAGUCUUACCCUGCAGGGACACUUCUCGCCAGUGUCUUAGGAUUAUCGGCGUUGUAGCAGACGGUGUCACCCACUUGAUUGAUGAGAUAGGUGCUGAAGCCCCAUUUUACAGGAAAGGGCCAUAUGAGAGAAUCCCAGAAUAACCUUAUAAUAAUUAAUUGCGCUGAAGAUAGCCUUCCCAAAAUACGUUUUUGAUUUUUUUUUUUUUUGUUCUGGUGGGGAAGGUUCAAG
Long non-coding RNA from Microtus ochrogaster (prairie vole), 419 nucleotides. RefSeq lists it as uncharacterized. The record is from RefSeq and is a predicted model, not a curated record. Lineage: Eukaryota; Metazoa; Chordata; Mammalia; Rodentia; Cricetidae.